This 478-nucleotide ribosomal RNA is filed under the name uncultured bacterium. RNAcentral describes it as "partial 16S ribosomal RNA". It matches the Rfam family "Bacterial small subunit ribosomal RNA", at positions 28 to 523 of the family's 1533-position model. The record is from RNAcentral.
GACGAACGCUGGCGGCGUGCUUAACACAUGCAAGUCGAACGGUAAGGCCCUUCGGGGUACACGAGUGGCGAACGGGUGAGUAACACGUGGGUGAUCUGCCCUGCACUUCGGGAUAAGCCUGGGAAACUGGGUCUAAUACCGGAUAGGACCCUGGGAUGCAUGUCCUGGGGUGGAAAGCUUUUGCGGUGGGGGAUGGGCCCGCGGCCUAUCAGCUUGUUGGUGGGGUGAUGGCCUACCAAGGCGACGACGGGUAGCCGGCCUGAGAGGGUGACCGGCCACACUGGGACUGAGAUACGGCCCAGACUCCUACGGGAGGCAGCAGUGGGGAAUAUUGCACAAUGGGCGCAAGCCUGAUUCAGCGACGCCGCGUGAGGGAUGACGGCCUUCGGGUUGUAAGCCUCUUUCAGCACCGACGAAGCGCAAGUGACGGUAGGUGCAGAAGAAGGACCGGCCAACUACGUGCCAGCCGCCGCGGUAA